UGGGGAAUUUUGGGCAAUGGGCGAAAGCCUGACCCAGCAACGCCGCGUGAAGGAUGAAGUAUUUCGGUAUGUAAACUUCGAAAGAAUAGGAAGAAUAAAUGACGGUACUAUUUAUAAGGUCCGGCUAACUACGUGCCAGCAGCCGCGGUAAUACGUAGGGACCAAGCGUUGUUCGGAUUUACUGGGCGUAAAGCGUGCGCAGGCGGCGACAUAAGACAGAUGUGAAAUCCCCGGGCUCAACCUGGGAACUGCGUUUGUGACUGUGUUGCUAGAGUGUAGCAGAGGGGGUGGAAUUCCACGUGUAGCAGUGAAAUGCGUAGAGAUGUGGAGGAACACCGAUGGCGAAGGCAGCCCCCUGGGUUAACACUGACGCUCAUGCACGAAAGCGUGGGGAGCAAACAGGAUUAGAUACCCUUGUAGUCCCUGAGCGGGCUGGCAAGGCGCAU
This 446-nucleotide ribosomal RNA is filed under the name uncultured bacterium. RNAcentral describes it as "bacterial SSU rRNA". It matches the Rfam family "Bacterial small subunit ribosomal RNA", at positions 355 to 825 of the family's 1533-position model. The record is from RNAcentral.